UGACUCCCAAGCCUGUGCAUUUUCCUUG
Molecule: non-coding RNA, 28 nt
Filed under: Macaca fascicularis (crab-eating macaque)
Lineage: Eukaryota; Metazoa; Chordata; Mammalia; Primates; Cercopithecidae
Also listed under: 1 other name
Source: RNAcentral